This is a non-coding RNA of Vigna angularis (adzuki bean), 119 nucleotides long. The record is from Rfam. NCBI's taxonomy places the organism in Eukaryota, Viridiplantae, Streptophyta, Magnoliopsida, Fabales, Fabaceae.
AUGUGCAAUCAGGCCAGCACUAAUGCACCGGAUCCCAUCAGAGUUCCAUAGUUAAGCAUGCUUGGGCGAGAGUAGUACUAGGAUGGGUGACCUCCUCGGAAGUCCUCGUGUUGCACCUC